Molecule: long non-coding RNA, 434 nt
Organism: Choloepus didactylus (southern two-toed sloth)
Lineage: Eukaryota; Metazoa; Chordata; Mammalia; Pilosa; Megalonychidae
Exons: 6
Source: RefSeq, a predicted model, not a curated record
GUCAAGAGUGAUGGUGUCUCUAACUAAGGUGUUGACCUUGACAUCUUAAAUCAUCCGGGUGGAGUUGAUGAAAACGGAACGUGGUGAACCUAACUAUGGUCGUUAACGUGGGGCACUGCUGGAUCCCAGGUAGUGUGGAAGUGGGCCUUCACUGCAGUACAGACCAUCUGAUCUUCUGAUAUCUAGGGGUCCAGGCAAGAGAAGUUGGUUUCACUAACCGUGGGCUGACCUUGGAGUCCUGCAACUAUCCAGGUUCCAGUCAAGAGAUCUUGGUAAGAUAAAGCUGCUUGCUUACGUGGGAUAUUGUGGAAUCCAGGCAAGGGAUGAUAUGACCUUUAACCGCUGCACAGACCCUUAUGUCUUCAGUUAUCUAAUGCUGACCUUGGAUUUCUGCAAGUUGUCAGUUUCCAGUCCAGACAUCAUGUCUAAGCUGC